RNAcentral lists this ribosomal RNA (497 nucleotides) under Microbispora sp. STS-107. Its description in RNAcentral is "bacterial SSU rRNA". It matches the Rfam family "Bacterial small subunit ribosomal RNA", at positions 1 to 522 of the family's 1533-position model. Lineage: Bacteria; Bacillati; Actinomycetota; Actinomycetes; Streptosporangiales; Streptosporangiaceae. The record is from RNAcentral.
UGGAGAGUUUGAUCCUGGCUCAGGACGAACGCUGGCGGCGUGCUUAACACAUGCAAGUCGAGCGGAAAGGCCCUUCGGGGUACUCGAGCGGCGAACGGGUGAGUAACACGUGAGUAACCUGCCCCUGACUCUGGGAUAAGCCUGGGAAACCGGGUCUAAUACCGGAUAUGACACUCCUCCGCAUGGUGUGGGUGUGGAAAGUUUUUUCGGUUGGGGAUGGGCUCGCGGCCUAUCAGCUUGUUGGUGGGGUGAUGGCCUACCAAGGCGACGACGGGUAGCCGGCCUGAGAGGGCGACCGGCCACACUGGGACUGAGACACGGCCCAGACUCCUACGGGAGGCAGCAGUGGGGAAUAUUGCGCAAUGGGCGGAAGCCUGACGCAGCGACGCCGCGUGGGGGAUGACGGCCUUCGGGUUGUAAACCUCUUUCAGCAGGGACGAAGUUGACGUGUACCUGUAGAAGAAGCGCCGGCUAACUACGUGCCAGCAGCCGCGGUA